ACGAACGCUGGCGGCAUGCCUCACACAUGCAAGUCGAACGAUGGUCUUCGGAUCAUAGUGGCGCACGGGUGCGUAACGCGUGGGAAUCUGCCCUUGGGUUCGGAAUAACAGUUGGAAACGACUGCUAAUACCGGAUGAUGUCGAUAAGACCAAAGAUUUAUCGCCCGAGGAUGAGCCCGCGUCGGAUUAGCUAGUUGGUGGGGUAAAGGCCUACCAAGGCGACGAUCCGUAGCUGGUCUGAGAGGAUGAUCAGCCACACUGGGACUGAGACACGGCCCAGACUCCUACGGGAGGCAGCAGUGGGGAAUAUUGGACAAUGGGCGCAAGCCUGAUCCAGCAAUGCCGCGUGAGUGAUGAAGGCCUUAGGGUUGUAAAGCUCUUUUACCCGGGAAGAUAAUGACUGUACCGGGAGAAUAAGCCCCGGCUAACUCCGUG
Molecule: ribosomal RNA, 435 nt
Filed under: uncultured bacterium
Lineage: Bacteria
Description: partial 16S ribosomal RNA
Rfam family: Bacterial small subunit ribosomal RNA
Source: RNAcentral